Molecule: ribosomal RNA, 494 nt
Filed under: uncultured bacterium
Lineage: Bacteria
Description: partial 16S ribosomal RNA
Rfam family: Bacterial small subunit ribosomal RNA
Source: RNAcentral
GAUGAACGCUAGCGGCAGGCUUAACACAUGCAAGUCGAGGGGUAUAGGUUUUCGGACCUAGAGACCGGCGCACGGGUGCGUAACGCGUAUGCAAUCUACCUUUCACAGAGGGAUAGCCCAGAGAAAUUUGGAUUAAUACCUCAUAGUAUUAUGAAGUGGCACCAUUUUAUAAUUAAAGUUCCAACGGUGAAAGAUGAGCAUGCGUCCCAUUAGCUAGAUGGUAAGGUAACGGCUUACCAUGGCGACGAUGGGUAGGGGUCCUGAGAGGGAGAUCCCCCACACUGGUACUGAGACACGGACCAGACUCCUACGGGAGGCAGCAGUGAGGAAUAUUGGUCAAUGGACGCAAGUCUGAACCAGCCAUGCCGCGUGCAGGAUGACGGUCCUAUGGAUUGUAAACUGCUUUUGUACGAGAAGAAACACUCCUUCGCGAAGGAGCUUGACGGUAUCGUAAGAAUAAGGAUCGGCUAACUCCGUGCCAGCAGCCGCCGUAA